Molecule: ribosomal RNA, 502 nt
Filed under: uncultured bacterium
Lineage: Bacteria
Description: bacterial SSU rRNA
Rfam family: Bacterial small subunit ribosomal RNA
Source: RNAcentral
AACGCUGGCGGCGUGCUUAACACAUGCAAGUCGAACGAGAACGCUCAGCUUGCUGAGGCAAGUAAAGUGGCGCACGGGUGAGUAACGCGUGGGUAAUCUACCUCCGAAUUGGGGAUAACAUUGCGAAAGCGGUGCUAAUACCGAAUAAUAUCCUCAAGACUCAGGUUUUGAGGACCAAAGGUGGCCUCUACAUGUAAGCUACUGUUUGGAGAUGAGCCCGCGUACCAUUAGCUUGUUGGUGGGGUAACGGCCUACCAAGGCUGCGAUGGUUAGCUGGUCUGAGAGGAUGAUCAGCCACACUGGAACUGACACACGGUCCAGACUCCUACGGGAGGCAGCAGUGAGGAAUUUUGCGCAAUGGGGGAAACCCUGACGCAGCAACGCCGCGUGAGUGAUGAAGGCCUUCGGGUCGUAAAGCUCUGUCAAGUGGGAAGAAUCUGUCCGGUGAUAAUACCGCUGGGCAAUGACGGUACCGCUGAAGGAAGCACCGGCUAACUCCGUG